AUUGAACGCUGGCGGCAGGCCUAACACAUGCAAGUCGAACGAGUGGCGGACUGGUGAGUAAUGUCUGGGAAACUGCCCUCUGGAGGGGGAUAACUCCUGGAAACAGUAGCUAAUACCGCCUACCAUCGGAUGUGCCCAGCUGGGAUUAGCUAGUAGGUGGGGUAACGGCUCACCUAGUCGACGAUCCCUAGCUGGUCUGAGAGUGUGACCACGGACACUGUGACGGAGACACAGUCCAUGCUCCAACGGGAGGCAGCAGGGGGGAAUAUUGCACAAUGGGCGCAAGCCUGAUGCAGCCAUGCAGCGUGUAUGAAGAAGGCCUUCGGGUUGUAAAGUACUUUCAGCGAGGAGGCGUUACUCGCAGAAGAAGCACCGGCAAACUCAGUGCCAGCAGCCGCGGUAAUUC
This 406-nucleotide ribosomal RNA is filed under the name uncultured bacterium. RNAcentral's name for it is "partial 16S ribosomal RNA". It matches the Rfam family "Bacterial small subunit ribosomal RNA", at positions 30 to 526 of the family's 1533-position model. The record is from RNAcentral.